GACGAACGCUGGCGGCGUGCUUAACACAUGCAAGUCGAACGAUGAUGCCCAGCUUGCUGGGUGGAUUAGUGGCGAACGGGUGAGUAACACGUGAGUAACCUGCCCCUGACUCUGGGGUAAGCGUUGGAAACGACGUCUAAUACUGGAUAUGACUGCCGGCCGCAUGGUCUGGUGGUGGAAAGAUUUUUUGGUUGGGGAUGGACUCGCGGCCUAUCAGCUUGUUGGUGAGGUAAUGGCUCACCAAGGCGACGACGGGUAGCCGGCCUGAGAGGGUGGCCGGCCACACGGGGACUGAGACACGGCCCAGACUCCUACGGGAGGCAGCAGUGGGGAAUAUUGCACAAUGGGCGAAAGCCUGAUGCAGCAACGCCGCGUGAGGGAUGACGGCCUUCGGGUUGUAAACCUCUUUUAGUAGGGAAGAAGCGUAAGUGACGGUACCUGCAGAAAAAGCACCGGCUAACUACGUGCCAGCCGCCGCCGUAA
Molecule: ribosomal RNA, 483 nt
Filed under: uncultured bacterium
Lineage: Bacteria
Description: partial 16S ribosomal RNA
Rfam family: Bacterial small subunit ribosomal RNA
Source: RNAcentral